This is a long non-coding RNA of Hemibagrus wyckioides, 720 nucleotides long. RefSeq lists it as uncharacterized. Lineage: Eukaryota; Metazoa; Chordata; Actinopteri; Siluriformes; Bagridae. The transcript has 3 exons. The record is from RefSeq and is a predicted model, not a curated record.
GUGUUCAAUAUGAACGCUCAGUGUUCAAUAUGAUGGUGCUGGAGGAGUGUUUUCCGAGGCGGACAUGUUGAGGUCGACUGGUGAAGAAGCUCAGUAUCCAGUUACACAGUGCAGAAGGCAGGCCCAGGUGAUUAAGAAUUUUGUGCAGGGCAAAAAAAAAGCAUCCUUCAGGAUUAUCGUCGCAAACCAGAAGAAAUUAGGCAUUAGAGUCAGCCGAGAGCACAGGAGAAGGGACUCAUCUGUUUGAUGGGCCGAUGGAUAAAACAUCAUGGAAAGAAUGUGUAGGCGGAGUAAACAGGGAUCCUCCUCACAGUGUCGUACACGGUGGCAAACCUGUAUUUGUUUUCCCAGAGCUGGCAAAUCAUCUUAUACUGAUCUCCAGGGAAGAUAGUGGGGAUGAUGAUACCAUUUUCAUUCCGGAUGAAGAAGUCACCACAGGCUUUCUCAAAAGAAUCAACAACCUCCGUCAGGGUCAGUGAGGAGAAAGAGGAGAGCAGGAACACCAGAGGGAGAAGCUUCAUCCUGACACACGAUGGAGGAGUGUGUGAUGAGUGUGUGUGGAGUGUGUGAUGAGUGUGUGUGGAGUGUGUGAUGAGUGUGUGUGGAGUGUGUGAUGAGUGUGUGUGGAGUGUGUGAUGAGUGUGUGUGGAGUGUGUGAUGAGUGUGUGAUGAGUGUGUGUGGAGUGUGUGAUGAGUGUGUGAUGAGUGUGUGUGGAGUGU